This 174-nucleotide small RNA is filed under the name Xenorhabdus cabanillasii. Its description in RNAcentral is "Manganese sequence". It matches the Rfam family "Manganese Mn2+ riboswitch aptamer (yybP-ykoY)". From Rfam's summary of the family: This RNA was originally discovered in E. coli during a large scale screen and was named SraF. The family was later found to exist upstream of related families of protein genes in many bacteria, including the the yybP and ykoK genes in B. subtilis. The record is from RNAcentral. Lineage: Bacteria; Pseudomonadati; Pseudomonadota; Gammaproteobacteria; Enterobacterales; Morganellaceae.
ACACCAGUCAUUGGGGAGUAGCCUGUUCCAGAAGACUUCUGGAAAAUUCGUAUCAACAUACUCGUUUGCAUAAAACGUGGUACGAAUGCCAAAUCGGUUGGCAAGACCAUAGACACAUAACGUCACCAUUGGUUGGGGGUGAUUUAUGUGUAUGUGGAAUCACCCAACCGAGGU